AUAUUGGAUAGAAAAUUUCAGUACUUAAUAUCGAAUAAAUUUUGAGGCUGAAUCAGCUUUCCGCAUAUUCUCACAAAGUGUAUUGAAAUGAAACACUCUUUUAUCUCAUCUAUUCGUUAAUGAUAUAAAUCACCAAGAUUCACUUUAUAAACCACGACAGAAUUGCCACGUUCCCAAUGUCGCUUUGUUAUCCAAAGAGUUCCUACUAGGCUUCUCGCUUGAAAGACCGCGCAGUGCUAGAUUCAUUGCUCUGCGAGUCACUGUAUUCCCCCAAAACGAUAGUUACCAGGCCAACGACCAUUAUUUGUUUGUUUGUUUUGAAUUUAUUUGUUUACUUACACUGUAAACAAUGAAAGUAGAUCCGAAAAAUUUUGGCAUGUUUUGCCCAAUCAUAAAAGAGACUAUCAAUGCUGUGCCUCGGAAAUGAACGACAACCCGGCAUAGUUGCUAGGACAACAGUCGAAUUGAGCAAAGGCAAACAGCUAGCGAUGGUAUUAGAAAAACAAAAA
Non-coding RNA from Schizosaccharomyces pombe (fission yeast), 509 nucleotides. NCBI's taxonomy places the organism in Eukaryota, Fungi, Ascomycota, Schizosaccharomycetes, Schizosaccharomycetales, Schizosaccharomycetaceae. The record is from the annotation of a GenBank genome assembly.